GAGAGUAUAGCUCAGUGGUAGAGUGCCUGCUUAGGAUGCAUCAGGUCCUGGGUUCAAUCCCCAGUACUCCUG
Molecule: transfer RNA, 72 nt
Filed under: Camelus bactrianus (Bactrian camel)
Lineage: Eukaryota; Metazoa; Chordata; Mammalia; Artiodactyla; Camelidae
Also listed under: 2 other names
Rfam family: tRNA
About the family: Transfer RNA (tRNA) molecules are approximately 80 nucleotides in length. Their secondary structure includes four short double-helical elements and three loops (D, anti-codon, and T loops). Further hydrogen bonds mediate the characteristic L-shaped molecular structure. tRNAs have two regions of fundamental functional importance: the anti-codon, which is responsible for specific mRNA codon recognition, and the 3' end, to which the tRNAs corresponding amino acid is attached (by aminoacyl-tRNA synthetases). tRNAs cope with the degeneracy of the genetic code in two manners: having more than one tRNA (with a specific anti-codon) for a particular amino acid; and 'wobble' base-pairing, i.e. permitting non-standard base-pairing at the 3rd anti-codon position.
Source: Rfam by way of RNAcentral